This 717-nucleotide ribosomal RNA is filed under the name uncultured fungus. RNAcentral's name for it is "SSU rRNA". It matches the Rfam family "Eukaryotic small subunit ribosomal RNA", at positions 828 to 1570 of the family's 1831-position model. The record is from RNAcentral. Lineage: Eukaryota; Fungi.
CUUUGGUUCUAUUUUGUUGGUUUUAAGGACCAAUGUCAUGAUGAAUAGGGACAGUUGGGGGCAUUCGUAUUCCGAAGCUAGAGGUGAAAUUCUUGGAUUUUCGGAAGACGAACUACUGCGAAAGCAUUUGCCAAGGAUGUUUUCAUUAAUCAAGAACGAAAGUUAGGGGAUCGAAGACGAUUAGAUACCGUCGUAGUCUUAACCAUAAACGAUGCCGACUAGGGAUCGGUGAACGUCGAUUGUGACUUCAUCGGCACCUUACGAGAAAUCAAAGUUUUUGGGUUCUGGGGGGAGUAUAGUCGCAAGGCCGAAACUUAAAGGAAUUGACGGAAGGGCACCACCAGGAGUGGAGCCUGCGGCCUAAUUUGACUCAACACGGGAAAACUCACCAGGUCCAGACAUAGUAAGGAUUGACAGAUUGAGAGCUCUUUCAUGAUUCUGUGGGUGGUGGUGCAUGGCCGUUCUUAGUUGGUGGAGUGAUUUGUCUGCUUAAUUGCGAUAACGAACGAGACCUUAACCUGCUAAAUAGCCCUUAUUGCUUCGGCAGUAAGCUGGCUUCUUAGAGGGACUAUCGGCUCAAGCCGAUGGAAGUUUGAGGCAAUAACAGGUCUGUGAUGCCCUUAGAUGUUCUGGGCCGCACGCGCGCUACACUGAUAAAGUCAGCGAGUAUUCACCUUGACCGGAAGGUUUGGGUAAUCUUUUGAAACUUUAUCGUGA